RNAcentral lists this transfer RNA (72 nucleotides) under Toxocara canis (dog roundworm). It matches the Rfam family "tRNA". From Rfam's summary of the family: Transfer RNA (tRNA) molecules are approximately 80 nucleotides in length. The record is from Rfam by way of RNAcentral. Lineage: Eukaryota; Metazoa; Nematoda; Chromadorea; Rhabditida; Toxocaridae.
UGGGCAAUAGCUCAAUGGUAGAGCUCCGGCUUCGCAUGCGGGAAGACGUGAGUUCGAUUCCCGGUUGCUUAC